UUGAAUCCAAAGGAUGUUGCUGGUGCUUGCAAAAGUACAUGUGCACUCCAACCUUCAUAUCCACCUGUGCACUCAUUGUAGGCUCUUGGAUUGAUUUCCAAAGAGUCUAUGAUUUUUAAUAUACACACUACAAAGUUUAUGGAAUGUCUGGGCAUUCAUUGCCUAAAAAUUAAUA
This 175-nucleotide unclassified non-coding RNA is filed under the name Ramariopsis corniculata. Its description in RNAcentral is "internal transcribe spacer 1". Lineage: Eukaryota; Fungi; Basidiomycota; Agaricomycetes; Agaricales; Clavariaceae. The record is from RNAcentral.